CCUACGGGGGGCAGCAAUUAGGAAUCUUGCGCAAUGGGCGAAAGCCUGACGCAGCGACGUCGCGUGACCGAUGAAGUCUUUCGGGAUGUAAAGGUCUUUUCUGGGGGAAGAAGGAUGUGACGGUACCCCAGGAAUAAGCCCCGGCUAACUACGUGCCAGCAGCCGCGGUAAUACGUAGGGGGCGAGCGUUGUCCGAAUUCACUGGGCGUAAAGCGCGCGUAGGCGGACUAUUAAGUUGUGGGUGAAAUCCCGGGGCUCAACCCCGGAACUGCCUGCAAAACUGGUAGUCUUGAGGUAUGAAGAGGGAAGUGGAAUUCCAGGUGUAGCGGUGAAAUGCGUAGAUAUCUGGAGGAACACCCGUGGCGAAGGCGGCUUCCUGGUCAUAUCCUGACGCUGAGGUGCGAAAGCCAGGGGAGCGAACGGGAUUAGAUACCCCUGUAGUCU
Molecule: ribosomal RNA, 444 nt
Filed under: uncultured bacterium
Lineage: Bacteria
Description: bacterial SSU rRNA
Rfam family: Bacterial small subunit ribosomal RNA
Source: RNAcentral